Molecule: non-coding RNA, 21 nt
Organism: Caenorhabditis elegans
Lineage: Eukaryota; Metazoa; Nematoda; Chromadorea; Rhabditida; Rhabditidae
Source: Ensembl
UUUCACAAUUUUCCUAACGUU